RNAcentral lists this ribosomal RNA (254 nucleotides) under uncultured bacterium. RNAcentral's name for it is "partial 16S ribosomal RNA". It matches the Rfam family "Bacterial small subunit ribosomal RNA", at positions 524 to 776 of the family's 1533-position model. The record is from RNAcentral.
UACGUAGGGGGCGAGCGUUGUCCGGAUUUAUUGGGCGUAAAGAGCUCGUAGGCGGUUCGGUAAGUCGGAUGUGAAAUCUCCACGCUCAACGUGGAGGGGCCAUUCGAUACUGCCGUGACUCGAGUCCGGUAGGGGAGUGUGGAAUUCCCGGUGUAGCGGUGAAAUGCGCAGAGAUCAUGAGGAAGACCAGUGGCGAAGGCGGGUCUCUGGACAGUUCCUGACACUGAGGCACGAAGGCCAGGGGAGCAAACGGG